GGACAAAGUCAGAUUCCGGAACGAGGUCAUCUAUAAAAUCACAAAACUGUUUGAUGGGAAUAAGAAGUCCGUCACCUGGGACAAGAAAAACCUGGGCGAUUUACUCAAAAUUCUAGAAAACUAAUUUGAAAACCUUAAUUCCUGUGAGAGGAGACCAAGAGGCUGUAUCCCAGAGGUGGAAAUGAUAAUGGUCCAAAGUCCAACGCUUUCAAAAGAGGUGAUGCUCAGGAGAUCGUCAGAGACAUGCUACUGCGUCAAAACAUUCCAAUUGGUGAUAUGGUUAAGAACUACUUCAAACAGCUGGACGACUUUCUUUCACGUGAGCGCUUCAGUUUGUGCUCGUGGGAGGUCGUGAGAGCUGAAAUGUGGAGCAUCCCGAGGGAUUUUUACAAUAAAUCAAAAAUGCCAAGAACACACGUGUGAGAGUGGCACUACUUUUUGUUCAUUUCUGCAAAACAUGUAAUUUUGAUGAUUAAAUUAAAUGUACCACUGUAAGCUUCAUAUGUGUAUGUUAUUUAUCCGUGUUGCAAAUGAUUUCCAUGUCGGCUAUGAUAUUUAAAUUAGGAUACAAACACGCCUUACAUUGGUUGAAAUUGUGCUAGCAAAUUUGUAAAAUUCUGUGGUGUGAUGUAACCUUGAAAUACAACGACUUUUUCGUUUAAAUGUUAUACUAAAUGAGAUGUUAUU
Long non-coding RNA from Oncorhynchus masou masou (cherry salmon), 687 nucleotides. RefSeq lists it as uncharacterized. The record is from RefSeq and is a predicted model, not a curated record. The transcript has 4 exons. Lineage: Eukaryota; Metazoa; Chordata; Actinopteri; Salmoniformes; Salmonidae.